Molecule: ribosomal RNA, 489 nt
Filed under: uncultured bacterium
Lineage: Bacteria
Description: partial 16S ribosomal RNA
Rfam family: Bacterial small subunit ribosomal RNA
Source: RNAcentral
UUGAACGCUGGCGGCAGGCCUAACACAUGCAAGUCGAACGGUAACAGGAAGAAGCUUGCUUCUUUGCUGACGAGUGGCGGACGGGUGAGUAAUGUCUGGGAAACUGCCUGAUGGAGGGGGAUAACUACUGGAAACGGUAGCUAAUACCGCAUAAUGUCGCAAGACCAAAGAGGGGGACCUUCGGGCCUCUUGCCAUCGGAUGUGCCCAGAUGGGAUUAGCUAGUAGGUGGGGUAACGGCUCACCUAGGCGACGAUCCCUAGCUGGCCUGAGAGGAUGACCAGCCACACUGGAACUGAGACACGGUCCAGACUCCUACGGGAGGCAGCAGUGGGGAAUAUUGCACAAUGGGCGCAAGCCUGAUGCAGCUAUGCCGCGUGUAUGAAGAAGGCCUUCGGGUUGUAAAGUACUUUCAGCGGGGAGGAAGGGAGUAAAGUUAAUACCUUUGCUCAUUGACGUUACCCGCAGAAGAAGCACCGGCUAACUCCGUG